GAAAUUAGACCCGAAACCGGGUGAUCUAGCCAUGGGCAGGUUGAAGGUUGAGUAACAUCAACUGGAGGACCGAACCGACUAAUGUUGAAAAAUUAGCGGAUGACUUGUGGCUAGGGGUGAAAGGCCAAUCAAACUCGGAGAUAGCUGGUUCUCCCCGAAAGCUAUUUAGGUAGCGCCUCGGACGAAUACUACUGGGGGUAGAGCACUGUUAAGGCUAGGGGGUCAUCCCGACUUACCAACCCUUUGCAAACUCCGAAUACCAGUAAGUACUAUCCGGGAGACACACGGCGGGUGCUAACGUCCGUCGUGGAGAGGGAAACAACCCAGACCGCCAGCUAAGGUCCCAAAGUAUUGCUAAGUGGGAAACGAUGUGGGAAGGCUCAGACAGCUAGGAUGUUGGCUUAGAAGCAGCCAUCAUUUAAAGAAAGCGUAAUAGCUCACUAGUCGAGUCGGCCUGCGCGGAAGAUGUAACGGGGCUAAGCAAUACACCGAAGCUGCGGCAAUGCCUUUUAGGUAUUGGGUAGGGGAGCGUUCUGUAAGCCGUUGAAGGUGGUCUGUAAGGGCUGCUGGAGGUAUCAGAAGUGCGAAUGCUGACAUGAGUAACGACAAAGGGGGUGAAAAACCUCCUCGCCGGAAGACCAAGGGUUCCUGUCCAACGUUAAUCGGGGCAGGGUGAGUCGACCCCUAAGGUGAGGCCGAAAGGCGUAAUCGAUGGGAAACGGGUUAAUAUUCCCGUACUUCUGACUAUUGCGAUGGGGGGACGGAGAAGGCUAGGUGGGCCAGGCGACGGUUGUCCUGGUUCAAGUGCGUAGGCUUAAGAGUUAGGUAAAUCCGGCUCUUUAUAAGGCUGAGACACGACGUCGAGCUGCUACGGCAGUGAAGUCAUUGAUGCCAUGCUUCCAGGAAAAGCCUCUAAGCUUCAGAUAGUCAGGAAUCGUACCCCAAACCGACACAGGUGGUCGGGUAGAGAAUACCAAGGCGCUUGAGAGAACUCGGGUGAAGGAACUAGGCAAAAUGGUACCGUAACUUCGGGAGAAGGUACGCUCUUGAUGGUGAAGUCCCUUGCGGAUGGAGCUGACGAGAGUCGCAGAUACCAGGUGGCUGCAACUGUUUAUUAAAAACACAGCACUGUGCAAAAUCGCAAGAUGACGUAUACGGUGUGACGCCUGCCCGGUGCCGGAAGGUUAAUUGAUGGGGUUAGCGCAAGCGAAGCUCUUGAUCGAAGCCCCGGUAAACGGCGGCCGUAACUAUAACGGUCCUAAGGUAGCGAAAUUCCUUGUCGGGUAAGUUCCGACCUGCACGAAUGGCGUAAUGAUGGCCACGCUGUCUCCACCCGAGACUCAGUGAAAUUGAAAUCGCUGUGAAGAUGCAGUGUACCCGCGGCUAGACGGAAAGACCCCGUGAACCUUUACUACAGCUUGGCACUGAACAUUGAACCUACAUGUGUAGGAUAGGUGGGAGGCUAUGAAGACGUGACGCCAGUUGCGUUGGAGCCGUCCUUGAAAUACCACCCUUGUAUGUUUGAUGUUCUAACUUAGCCCCAUUAUCUGGGGUGAGGACAGUGCCUGGUGGGUAGUUUGACUGGGGCGGUCUCCUCCCAAAGAGUAACGGAGGAGCACGAAGGUGGGCUAAUCACGGUUGGACAUCGUGAGGUUAGUGCAAUGGCAUAAGCCCGCUUAACUGCGAGAAUGACGGUUCGAGCAGGUGCGAAAGCAGGUCAUAGUGAUCCGGUGGUUCUGUAUGGAAGGGCCAUCGCUCAACGGAUAAAAGGUACUCCGGGGAUAACAGGCUGAUACCGCCCAAGAGUUCAUAUCGACGGCGGUGUUUGGCACCUCGAUGUCGGCUCAUCACAUCCUGGGGCUGAAGUCGGUCCCAAGGGUAUGGCUGUUCGCCAUUUAAAGUGGUACGCGAGCUGGGUUUAGAACGUCGUGAGACAGUUCGGUCCCUAUCUGCCGUGGGCGUUGGAAGAUUGAAGGGGGCUGCUCCUAGUACGAGAGGACCGGAGUGGACGAACCUCUGGUGUUCGGGUUGUGUCGCCAGACGCAUUGCCCGGUAGCUAAGUUCGGAAUUGAUAAGCGCUGAAAGCAUCUAAGCGCGAAGCGAGCCCUGAGAUGAGUCUUCCC
RNAcentral lists this ribosomal RNA (2123 nucleotides) under Vibrio cholerae. RNAcentral's name for it is "partial 23S ribosomal RNA". It matches the Rfam family "Bacterial large subunit ribosomal RNA", at positions 705 to 2815 of the family's 2925-position model. Lineage: Bacteria; Pseudomonadati; Pseudomonadota; Gammaproteobacteria; Vibrionales; Vibrionaceae. The record is from RNAcentral.